UGAUAGUACUUGCUACAUUAGUGGUGAUAGGGGUAGGAAGUUUGCCUAUGGGAUUGGAAAUAUAUUCAUUCAUUCAUUCAUCAAUUUUCAUCAUUCUAUAUAGAGGCACUUUGGUUAUUAAUUGUUCUAGAGUUCUUUUUUAGCAUGACCUUCUUUUAUGAUUGGUUGGUUUGGGAAUUUUGAAUGAUAAUUGACUUGAUA
Molecule: unclassified non-coding RNA, 201 nt
Filed under: Hevea brasiliensis (rubber tree)
Lineage: Eukaryota; Viridiplantae; Streptophyta; Magnoliopsida; Malpighiales; Euphorbiaceae
Source: RNAcentral